RNAcentral lists this microRNA precursor (83 nucleotides) under Mandrillus leucophaeus (drill). Its description in RNAcentral is "microRNA 548an (ENSMLEG00000006661.1)". Lineage: Eukaryota; Metazoa; Chordata; Mammalia; Primates; Cercopithecidae. The record is from RNAcentral.
CAUUAGGUUGGUGCAAAAGGAUUUGUGGUUUUUGCUUGUAAAAGUAAUGGCAAAAACCGCAAUUCCUUUUGCACCAACCUAAU